This 468-nucleotide ribosomal RNA is filed under the name uncultured bacterium. RNAcentral describes it as "partial 16S ribosomal RNA". It matches the Rfam family "Bacterial small subunit ribosomal RNA", at positions 28 to 507 of the family's 1533-position model. The record is from RNAcentral.
GACGAACGCUGGCGGCGUGCUUAACACAUGCAAGUCGAACGGAAAGGCCCUGCUUUUGUGGGGUGCUCGAGUGGCGAACGGGUGAGUAACACGUGAGUAACCUGCCCUUGACUUUGGGAUAACUUCAGGAAACUGGGGCUAAUACCGGAUAGGAGCUCCUGCUGCAUGGUGGGGGUUGGAAAGUUUCGGCGGUUGGGGAUGGACUCGCGGCUAAUCAGCUUGUUGGUGGGGUAGUGGCUUACCAAGGCUUUGACGGGUAGCCGGCCUGAGAGGGUGACCGGCCACAUUGGGACUGAGAUACGGCCCAGACUCCUACGGGAGGCAGAAGUGGCGAAUAUUGCACAAUGGGCGGAAGCCUGAUGCAGCAACGCCGCGUGUGGGAUGACGGCCUUCGGGUUGUAAACCGCUUUCGCCUGUUACGAAGCGUGAGUGACGGUAAUGGGUAAAGAAGCACCGGCUAACUACGUG